RNAcentral lists this ribosomal RNA (301 nucleotides) under uncultured bacterium. Its description in RNAcentral is "partial 16S ribosomal RNA". It matches the Rfam family "Bacterial small subunit ribosomal RNA", at positions 509 to 807 of the family's 1533-position model. The record is from RNAcentral.
CAGUCGCCACGGGAACACGAAGGGUGCAAGCGUUACUCGGAAUUACUGGGCGUAAAGCGUGCGUAGGUGGUGGUUUAAGUCCGUUGUGAAAGCCCUGGGCUCAACCUGGGAAUUGCAGUGGAUACUGGGUCACUAGAGUGUGGUAGAGGAUAGUGGAAUUUCCGGUGUAGCAGUGAAAUGCGUAGAGAUCGGAAGGAACGCCCGUGGCGAAAGCGAGCUCCUGGACGUUUUCAGACGCUGAGACGCGAAAGCCAGGGGAGCGAACGGGAUUAGAUACCCGUGUAGUCCCUGUCUCUUAUAC